UACGUAGGGGGCAAGCGUUGUCCGGAUUUAUUGGGCGUAAAGGGUGCGUAGGCGGUUUGGUAAGUCUCGUGUGAAAUCUCUGGGCUCAACUCAGAGUCUGCACGAGAAACUGCCGGGCUGGAGUGUGGGAGAGGUGAGUGGAAUUUCCGGUGUAGCGGUGAAAUGCGUAGAUAUCGGAAGGAACACCUGUGGCGAAAGCGGCUCACUGGACCACAACUGACGCUGAUGCACGAAAGCUAGGGGAGCAAACAGG
This 253-nucleotide ribosomal RNA is filed under the name uncultured bacterium. Its description in RNAcentral is "partial 16S ribosomal RNA". It matches the Rfam family "Bacterial small subunit ribosomal RNA", at positions 524 to 776 of the family's 1533-position model. The record is from RNAcentral.